CUGUUCCCCUCUUUUCCCCAGUGGUUUGCUCCAAUUUCUCAGAACAGCAUCCUUGCCACUAAACCUCAAGAUUGGCCUGUUCCUGUCUCACAAAUUAUUAGGCCCUCUAUACUUUUUACCCUUACCUCUAGUUAUCUAGCUAGUAACCUAGAGUGGUUUGAUGGUGUCUUGCACUAAAGCAUCCCCACUCAGUUCCCUGUACAUGGCAGUGGUUUGUUCCUAUCUGCUGAGCAUCAGCAUCUUUCCCCUCCUUUCUCACAGGAAUGAUUAGAUACUGCGUCAUUGAGCAUCAGGCAUUUAGCCCCUCCCCCGGGGUCCACAGUGGUUUGAUCCUACCUCAUGGACUAUUAGGUUCUUUCUGAUUCCCCCUCCAGCGUCACCAUUACUAAUGGUAUGGUCCUUAGCAUCAGGUCUUUUUUUGUCCCCCACUGGUCUUCUGAGCACAUUGACGCAGCCUCAUCUCAUUCCUGAUGCAUCCUGAGCCUCUCAGUGCCUUGCUCCUGCGUAAGCGCUGUAAACUGGACCAAAUGGGUUGAAAAUGGCCAGAAAUUGAUCUUGAUCACUUUAGAUAUUUUAUGAAAAAUAAAAAAAAAUAAUUUCUGUCCAGUUAAAAUCCAUUUGAGCCAGUUUAAGCUAAUUGUGCAGAGCUGGAGGCUGAGGUCGGCAAACCCAGGAAGAUGGCUGAAGACUAUGCUGACUCAAGCCACUCAUGGAGCCAGAUUUCUUGGAUUCCAGAUUCAACUCCUUCUUUGACCCUGGACCUGUGCUGACUGGAAGCCUCGAGAUGAGAUGAGAAAAUCGAGGCUCAGAAAAGUCCCAUGACUUGUCCAAGGCCAUGAAGCUAGUUCACAGAGAGGCACAGAAUCAGCUAUGGAAGCACUUGAGAGAAUACCAAUACCAUUUUGUGGCCUGGAGAGAUCGGCACCCUCACUAUUUUUGUCCCUGCUAGCCAUCAGCCUCUGGCUUCCCUGUUAUCCUGUUGCCCCCACAGAAUGCAGCUACUACGUGGCUUAAGAGCCAGCACCUCCAUGAAGUGGUGAAGAGGAAAGGCCAUUUGAGGACACAGUGAGAAGAUGAUGAUUAUCUACAAGCCAGGAAAAGAAGCUUCUUCAGAAACCAAUCCUGCCACACUGAGUUUGGGUUUUCAGCCUCUACAACUGUGAGACAAUGAAUGUGGUGUUUACAGCAUGCAGUCUGUGAUAUCUUGUUAUGACAGACCAAGGAGUCUAAUCUAACUAUUCCUUAAUAUUGGGAACAUUACUUAGAAGCAAAUGAUCCAUGAAAAUGGUAAAGUCAUCUGUGUUUGCUAUUCUUAUUCCCCCUUUCUCCACCAUUGAGCAUUCAAAACAGUGGCAGGCAACUUACAUUAUAUGCCUGGGACUCAUUUCUCUUUAGCUUUUAGCAUUUGAUUUCUAACAUCAUGGUUAAGGUUUGAAAAAACCUGUGUUAAUAAUACACUACAGAGAGUAAGGGACAUAGAGAAAGCCUACAUUCCCAAAUUGCAGUCCCAAGAGGAUUCUAAGCUUGGGUAGUGCUGAUGGAGCACUCUGACCUGUGGUGCACCAUUGGUUUAAAGACUUUAUUUUUUACUAUUCUUUAGAUCGCAGUUUGGAACUGAGUUAUAGAACAGAGUAUAUUUCCUUAUUUUCUCCAUUUGGUCUUUCUUCCCUCGAUAAUUCCAAAGUAUGCAAGCUAUAUGCUUUCUAGUUUUUUUUUCUUUAGAGCCAUUAUCUAGACACCAAAAACAGCGAUGGAAAGAGACGGGUUUAAUCCAAAGCACCGGUUUCCAUUACUUUGAGCUGCCUCAAUGAUUUUUCUGAUGGGGUGAAAUUUCUUGCACUUGGUCUCAGGCCCAAGGUAUAUGCAAUGUUUCAAUGAAAUUGCUUGCGACACAUUGAAGUGAGUGCCUGGGAACUAUGAGUUUGUCAAAUAUUAAAAGAAAAAAAAGACUCAGAACCUCUUGUACAGGCAGUGGACAAAAGAGGGGAUAGCUUUCAAAGAUUUUACUUGCUAUAAAUGUCUACCCUGAUAUUGAGAGUGUUCUGUUCUGUGAAAGACACAAAGAUACAUAUUCAUAGGCAAUGUCAGAAAGUGUGUAUUCUACACACUUCUUGUGAAACCCUCCACAUUUGGGGGCCGACUUCCCUCUCCAGUCUAAUCUCCUUUACACCCCCUACUUCAGUUGAAUUCCUUAUUUAUUUCUUUACAGUUCAGUUGUUGACCACAUAGUAGGUCUUGGGGCUAGAAAGACAAUGCUUAUCUACAGGUGUUCUUCGAGGUUCCCAGGCGCUCAUAGGAGAACCUUUUAAAGUAUCUCCUGUGGUUAACAGCAUUGUAGAAGCUUGCUCUGCAUAGUCACACAUGAUGGAAUUCCAUUUAUAAAACCCUCAUAGAAGGAAUAAGGACCAGGGAGCAGGCUUUUGCCACACACAGUACUACAUCCUAUGUUAGAUCUCUUUUGAGUGGCGUUUGAGCAAUUCACUUCUUGGAACAUAUAUAGCAUGCCGUUUUUGCUUCACCAUAGGGAAGAGUUUAUCAAAUUCAAGGAAUAAGAUACAAUCAGCACUGAAUUUUCUCUCAGCAGUGAAUCUUUGUCCCUGAGUAAGAUGUUUGGUUCUCAUAACAAUGUUCAGAAAGUUGUGAAAAGUGCUGAUAGUCCAGCACACACAUAUGCAAUGGUCUUACCUUUAAUCAGCUGGGAAUAACAGGUUCCCAAGUUCUACCUGUUUCCCUUGAUGUCCCAGUUGACAGGUAGAUACUUGGUGUAAUGGAGAUGUGAAUGUUCUAGAUGAGAAAAGAGAAAGGUGUUGAGGAAUGUGUGCCGAGGGCUGCUGUUUAUCAAAGGGACUUGAGAUGAUGGCUAUUUUGGCUCUGGCACUGUGCCCUUUUGGUAGUGCACUCCAUUCCUCCAGAGAUUUCCAAAGCAAAGGUUAGGGAUGAGAUGUAAAGAUUAAGGGGCAGAAAGGCUGCUCCCCAAAUGGAGGCUUGGUGUUUGAAAAAGAAUGUUCAUAAAGUCAAGAUAAGACACCCAGAUUCCAGUCCUAAAUCUGUCCUUGACUUACGGUCUGACCUUGGGAAAACCAUUUCUUAGUUUUGGAUCGCAGUUUCUUUGUAUCUCAAAAAAAAUGUUUGGAGGCCAGGUGUAGUGGUGUAUACCUUGAAUCCCAGAUUUCAGGAGUCAGAGAGAGGUGGAUCUCUGUGAGUUGAAGCUAGUCUGUUUAGUGAAUUUCAGUCCAGUCAGGGAUACAUAGUGAGACCCUAUCUCAAAAAAAAAAUUAAGAGUGGUUUGAGUCUGGGGAUGUUGCCCAGGUGGUAGUUUCCUAGCAUGCACAAAGCCUUAUGUUCUAUCACCAAUACCAUAUAAACAAAGCAUUGUGGUACAUGUCUAUCUGUAAUCCUAGCUCUUGGGCAGCAUAAGUAAGAGAAUCAGAAGUUCAAGGUCACCAUUAGCUACAUUGUGAGUUUGGGGCCACCAUGAGAUAUAUGAGACACUGUCUCAGAAACAAAGUUCAGUUUAUCUAUGAGGUGUCUUCACACUGACCUUAAGUAUUUUUGGUCCCUUGACUUCUCUAGAAAAGGAGCAAAUGCCAAGACCGUUAAAUAUAGACUGGAAGUUAUAGAAUAUGAAAAGAAUAAAAGAAAAAUUAAAGCACACAGCUACAGAGUACAUCAUGUUGUUGGUAUUCUACUCUGUGUAUUUCCUACAAUAAUAUUUUGUCCUAUUGUUCCUUGGGAACAAUUGAAAUGUCUGGGGAAAUGAAAUUUUCAUUGUUUCAGUUGUAGCUUCUAAAUUGCCUCAUUCAACCAGAAAAGACUUCAGCAAGUUUUUCAACAGGAACCAGUGUCAAAUUUUUGUUUCAGAAAAUAUGGUCACCACAACUCUGUAGCACUUACCUUAUCUUCCUUAGGGUGUUUUCAUACAUAGUAAGUUUUCCAUUUAUGUAAGUAAUGUCCUGGGAAAUUUAUAAUCUGUUGGGAUCAUUUAUUACUCACACAAGACAUGUGUUUGGAAAUAUAAAGAGUCAUUCUUCAAGACAGAUAUUACAUGUAUUAUGAUUGCUUGCAAUAGAUGAAGAGACCAGUUAGGUUCUCCUACUAUAAUGUUCUGUUGAUAGAGGGCAGAAGAAACUAAGCAGCAGGAGAAAUUAGCAGUAGAAGCAGGAAGGCAGAAGUUUCAAAUAUCCAUUGUUUACAGCCUCUGCUGAUAGUGACUUGGAACCAGCAGUUUUGGAUUUAGGUAAAGGAACAUGUAAGCUAUGCCUGCCUGGAUGUCUGUCUCCAGCUCUGACCUCUCUCCUGAGUCAGAGAAGAAUUUUAAAAUGCUUGUUCUAGUUCUCAAUCUGACACCCUAAAAGUAUUUCUCUUCUCCCCAAGACAUGUUCUUUUCCCUAAUGCACUGUUCUUGUUACUAGUGCUACUUUCAUCUUACCAAUCACUAAAAAUGAUAAAAAUGGCAUUUACAUUUUUCAUUACCUUGAUAAAUCUAGUCAGUUGCUAAGUUGUGGUACUAUUGCUUCACAAUUUCAUCUCACAAAAGGCAACCUCUUCCACAUUUCACUACAGCCCUCAUGACUUCUCAUCGCACUUGAGUAACUCUUACCUGGUUCAUUUUCUUUAAACCUUGUCCACCUCAUUCAGUCAAAAUACAAACACACACACACACACACACACACACACACACACACACACACACACAUAACCAUUAGCAUUCUUUCUUCCCAAUUGUUAGGCUAAGUGUAUGGAGAGGUAGUCUUCAGUGGUACAUAUGCAUUUUGCACUGAAGAAAAGGAAGAAGAGAUUAUUUUUUCAAUAUUUGGAGGCAAUUUCAGAAGGCCACAGUGGCAUAAGGAAAUACUUGUUCUUAGUUAAGAAUUAUAUUUUAUCCUGAAACACUUUCACUGUAUGCUGUUCCUCUGAACUUGAUGUUCAAGCCAGCCUGAUACCUGUAGUUCUCCCUGCCCACAGCAGAUUGCUAUUCUUCAUUUCUUUUUGUGUACACUUGAAACUGCUGAAUGCGUUCUUCUUGCUUUUUACCCCCAAGCCUCAUCUGAUCUUUCCCACAGAUGUUGGGGAUUCAGGGAUUCCCCAUAGGUUUGAGUGUCUCCUCCCUCAUUACUGGCCUUGGCCUCUUCCCAUAGCCAUGUUUCCAUCACUCACAUGGACUUGGCCACGUGGCAGCUUUGCUGAUGGGCUCUUCAGCCGUCUCCCACAAAUCCAGGCCAAGAGGUGACAUUCAAUCUGUCCUCAGUGUAUACCUCCAUCCUGCCAAAGCUGUAAAACUGUCUGGGAUUAUAGUCCCAUCCAGUUAUGUACAUGAGGAGGCACUUUCCAAAGACAUUGAUCAAUUCCCUAAUGAUCUCAUGGCACAGCAGGUAGAGCUCCUGUGGUUUGCAGCAAGAAAGCCAGAGCAUAGCAACAAGUCCUUCAGGCUCUGUGCUCUGAAACUCUCUUGAGCCAUAGGGCUUGAGAAGACCACUGGGUAUUUUGGAACUUGUCCCAAACACAAUUAAGUAUCCAGGCAAAAAGGAAAAGAAUUGUUGGAAUACAAAUGGCCUAGCUCAAUGGGGGUUAGGGGGUGACCCAUCCAACUGGGGCUCCCAUCCCAGUCAACACAGAUCUACCAUCUCCUCACUGGGCCUGCUGAAGUCAGCCUUGUCUGCAUCCAGGGGCAGCUCUAGUGGGCUUGCCCAGUAUCCUAGGCAUGUGCAACACUUCCACCUAACUCAAACCACAUGCAGAGGAUCAUGUCAUACUUGGCGCAUAACCAAUCGAGAAAGGCAUCAGAGGGUGUCCAGACCUCAGCUUGUUUGAACAAAUGUUCAAAAAAACAUUUCUGAAGGGAUAUUCCAGAAAAACAUACUCACUCAAGGUCUUAAAACAGAUGUUCAGGCUCUAGGAUUGGGUUGCUUUGCAGCUACUAUUAUCAAAUACAAUAAAGAGGGACAAAAUCAUUUUAGACUUGAACUAGGGUGUAUGUUUAGCUUUCUUUUGUGUCUUUAUUGUUGGCCAUGAGAAGAUGUGUUAGAGGGCAGAACAUAAAGCCGAGAGGCAGCAUGCUAUUGUGAUUCACUCUUUGGCACGGGAGUCAAGUAGGCAAAGGCUUUGACCCCUGACUAGCUUGGUGUGCUAACCUAUCACAGUCUCACUUUGUUUAGCUACAAAACUAAUGGCAACAUUGCUGACUCAUUACUUUUGUCAAGAAAACUAAAAACGCAUUACAUAUAUAGUGCAUACCCAGCCAGUACAGCACUGUUAACAACACUAUCACCAGCAGAGCUUUAAUAUUUACUGUUACUACUAAUUUUACACUAUUAGCACUGCUGCUGCUGCUCUCUCUAGGACAGCUCCACAAAUUAGUUGGGGAGUUGAAGAGGGCCUCAGCUUUGUUUUUUUAGUCUAUGGAGAAGGUAAGCAUACCAAGGAAGAACACUGCAGGAAUUCUAGCUUAAAAGAGAAAGAGAGCAGGGCAGAGCUCUUGUAGUUUAUUUUCCCUAUUUUACACCAAAGCCCUUCUAUCCUUCAUUAGCUUGCUAUGUAACCUAGCUCCAGCCACUUGAGAUAAUGGUGUUUCACUACUUACUCUUGAAAAUGAAACCCUGUGGCACUUGUUUGCAGGCAAGCUGACCUGUAUCAGAGGCCUAGUCUGUGAAUGGAAUGUGCAUGAGCAGCUAGUUCAAAAGAGGCAAGGCACUAACUUCUUUUAAUGGCUCUAAGCUACCCAGCUCACAAUCCAGAUGUAUGCUAUAGCCACCACCAUAAUCUUUCUUAGCUACCGGCAAACUGAUAUCCUGGGCUUACUGCUGGAAGGAAAACUUUCUAAAUAGCCACUAUUUGUAUUUCACUCUUCCAUUGAUACUUGCUGUGCCAUGAUAGCUCUUUUAAUUUACUUUUGUGUUGGGGAUAUGAUCCCAGGGACUUGCAAAUGCUAGGCAAGUUGCUCUAUCACUGAGCUACACCCCAAGAUGGAUUCAAAAUAACUCUUUAAGGAAGAUUAUCCACCUAUUCAUCCAUCAACACCUCCCCCCCACAAUCCAUCCACCUAUCAUUCAACAGGUAUUUAUUGAACAAUGAUAACAUCCAAAUCAUGGUUGUAGGUGCUAGCAACAAGGCAGGGAACUGCUGUUAUGAAGCUUAAAGUCUAGCUGCCUAGUUUCACCAAAUAGAGCGUACCAUGCAAAUCCAUUGGAAAAAUUGAGUGUAGACUUUUGGAACAAAUUUUAGUCAGCCCUUUUCAACUGGACAUGUCUUUUAAGGAGCUUGGGUGGAGAGUGAGGGACUGUCUUGCAUCCAGCCUGAGCAAAGGUUCUGAGGGUGGCCUGGGACAGGACUUUAGUAACAAUGUGCCUGCAUUUUGAUUUCUAAGAUUAAUCUGGUAUACGAAUUGUAUACUUACUAUGCUGAAUGGCUAAAUUUUGAAAUGUGAUAAGAAGACAAUGUAAUUUUGUUAUUGUCUCACUCAUAAACUGGCUCAGAAGGCAGUUCUCAAAGCAGUGUUUCAAAAUUAUUCUGAACAAUGGCAACAUCAGAACAUAUUCUCAAGGGGACUGCUUCAGACAGUUCAGUACAUAUCUGAGUGUACAAAUCUUGGCCUAUUAAAAAUAAACAUUGCUAGUAGCUAAUUUAUACAAAAACAGUAAAAAGAAAGAAUUGUAGAUUUAAAUAUUGAAUUAAAUUAUUGAAAUAUUUAUACAUUAUAUAUUUGGAUAUAUUACUGCCAUACAAUUAAUUCACUUUAAAAUAACAAAAGGAAGUUUUCUUUGCAUUAGGUUCUUUUUUACCCAGUUCAUGCCUAGUCUUCUGCAUGUGAAUCUUUGAAGUGAACAGCACAGCUAUUUAGCCAUUGUCUGUUUUUUUUAUAUCAAAGUCAAUCUUCCCAUUACAUGGCAUGCCUGCACAAACACUGCCUUCUGCUUUGAAGCCAGUGUAUGAUCAAAUUAACUUGUAAUUUUUUUGCAGCAGAAUGUUAAAUCAGGAAUUGUAAACAAUUCCUAGGCAAUGUGUAUAAUGUUGGUAAGUCAUUCCUAGAAAUUGUUCACAAUGCCUGUAACAUAUAUUCAGCUAGCAAGAUACCCGAAAUACAUAGGAAGCCUUCAAGAAGCUAACUGUCCAUUUCUAGGACAUCUCUGGAUCAUGAACUUUUUUGUAAUCAAUUCUACGUAUUUAUCUGUUAAUUUAUCUUGUUAAUAAUUCUGAUAAUAGUAGUACUACUUGAUUGUCAUAGCUCCCAAGGAUUUCUGCAAAUUUGCCAGUAAUUUGGUGAUACAAAGGUUUGGACAUGCUUAUUUUAAGAGGCAUUUGGAAAAAAACAAUAAUUAGGAGUAAAGGCAAUUAUACUUGUCAGGUGAGCCAAGGCCCUGUCUAAACUUUCUUAUUCCUUUACAAAAGGUUUAGGCAAAGCUUCAUUGCCUGUCCCCCAGCCCACUUCCAACCAGUUUUUGAUAUUCUAAUUCUUUUGGGCUUUCCCAAGUCAUGCCAAAAAAUUUAAUUUCUAUCAAUCUUACUCUUUCAUGAAAGUUUGUUGCCUUUUUCUGUUCACUUAUCUGCUAAUGAAACUUGAUAUUCACAUAAUGUAAUGCUUAAUUUAUGUACUUGAUCCUAUUUGUAUUUAUUUAUUUUCAUUUAGUGUUUUGAAAUGAUCUACCUAUUGGUUUAUAUCAGCAUUGCUGUGGGUUAUAACCAUGUAACUACAUCAAUUUAGAUAUGAAAGCAAAAUGUUGAAUGAGUUUUGGCCUUGAGUGUUAUGAUCAUAUCAAGUCACUGGCUGGGAUUCUUUGCAUGUAAAAAUUUAAGUGAAUAUGCUUGACUUCUAAUUGACUAGCAAAAAUAGGACAUCCUAGGAGCCCACUCAGAUGAAGCCAGGGAAUGAGAUGGCUAUGUGAGGAGUGGAAUCAAGAGAUAUCAAGAGAUUGGGCAAAGCCUUUUGACAAUUGAUCUCAGCAUCUAGUACUGUUGCCAAGGAAAUGGCUGAUGUUGUAGGAUGCAGCUGAGCAAUAUUUUAGAGUCAUACAAAUGGCCCUUUAAUUUGAUUAGAUGAUGACCUUCACCCAAAUCUCAUCCCUACUGUACCCAGAUAUGACCCUUCUCUCAAGGCCCAACUCAACCUGGUCUGUUGGGCCUAUCUAGUUGUAUUGGUCCUCUCCAGGGUAUCUUCUUUGAAUGCCUCCAGACCUUUAAGGACAUUUUGUCUCUCAAACCGAAUUGUACUGAUCUAAUUGUGUACUGUGUAUAUUUCACGGAUGCCUUACACUUAUGGUGACCAUAUUUUCUAACCAAAAAUUAGAACAUAUCAUCUGAAAAUUUAGGUGGGUAUUUGAAUUGAGCAGUCCUCUGGAAAACACGGGUAUGCCCUUCUGUGUCUCUCACCUAUUGAAAGUCAGCAUUAACUAAGAUGCUAGGAAGAUAAAGACAGAAGGUAACAUCUACCAAGUGGCAAGUAAAUGACACAGAUAUUUUUGGAGUAUCUAGUAUAGGCAGGAAUAGCUUAAGUGCUUUGUUACUGUGCCUUAGGAGUAAUAUAUUGGUUCUGAAAAUAAACAAAAAUGUAAGAAAAGAAAAGGGGCAUCUGGUAGUGAGACACACUGUAGAAGGAUUGUAUCAAACAAUCCAGCAGGUAAGAGAAGUCUCAAAAGAGGAGGCCUUGUGGUCAGAAAGACAAAUAGAAAAAGGUUUUCACUGAAGUUCUUAAAGGUCUUAUUAGACAGAUUUUAAAAACUAAAUUCUUGGAGGUUUUGCAUAAUACAACAAGAAAUAAAUUUAGGGAAAUUAUAACAAUGGUGAAGAAAAAGAGAAUACAGCUUAGAAAAGAGUAUAGCUUCAUUUAGGGGCUAGAUAGUAAGGUCUGGUCCUGACUUAUUAAUAGAGAUUAGUAAAUUAAUCUUUUCUAGGAAAAACAAGCAUUUAAAGUUACCCACAUCAAACUUCUUGACUCUGGAGUUAUCUGUGUGUAGACUCCUCCAUGCUCAGUUCUGUAGAACGUCAAGAAAGAGACUGACUAGAAGGAUUAGUAGAACUAAGGGCUUUUGAGUAUGCAAUUUUAUGAGUUAGUGUGGUUUAUGUCUGUUGUGAGCCCAUGAAGACAGAGGGAAGAGUACUGCUUCUUGCCCUGGAAAGCCACUCAGUAUUGACUUGAUACUGCUUUUCCUCUAAAGUACCUAUCUUUUCCCACUUCAUCUUCAUUUUUAACUCUCUUCCAUUUUAGGUGUAGCUGAAUUAAAGGACAGGACAUAAGUUAAUGGGUAAAACUCAAUUGACAUUGUUGGUUCUGGCCAUCAGAGUUUCUCUCAUCCAAGUACUAACCAGGCCCACCUUGCUUAGCUUCCAAGAUCAGACAAGAUCUUGGGUAGUAUGUUUCCUAGUUCUCCCAGGUAGACUUGUCUGUAACUCUGUAUACCUGUUAUCUUGGCUUUUUAAGUCUGGGAUUCCACUUUGAAUUGGUUUGUUGUUUGUAUCUAGCAGUAGACAACUGAUACCAAGUAUUGUCUUUCCCUCUCCCUGCCCUCCCUUCUUCUCUCUUAUUUUCUUUUGUGACAGACCUUAUGUGCAUUAGGCAGACCUCUGACUCCUAGUAACCAUGGCUGACUGUACUCCUGUUCUUUCUGCCUUUACCCCUCAGAUAUUGCCAAUGCUGGGAUUACAGGAUAUACUCCCAUGCCCAGCAUACACAUUGAUUUAACAGCUUAUAAUAGAAUAUAAAUACUGGCUCACUAAUAGACAUUGUGCUUUUGUUCAUGCAGCCUAACUUUACAUUUGCAUCUUGAAUGCUUCAUGUUUUAUCUUGAACUCAGAAUGAAAGACCUUGGCCUUAGUCUUCACAUUCUUUGGUGUUGCAAAGUGAAGCUUCCUGGUCCAAUCUUUGCAUUCCUUAAACUACAUGUGAGGUCUGAUAUAUAGAACAAUCAUUUUGGAAUUGUGUAGAAAUAUUUAAGGCCCAAAAAUAUAGCUCCCAAAUGCAAAGCAAUUUCUUGGGCUGUCUGACAAAAAACAAUUGAUGGAAUCUUUUUUAAGUCUUUGACUUUUUUUCCUACUUGCCACACCUCAUUCCUUAAUUUGAACCUUCAGAUGCAUUCUGUUUUUGCCAUAAUGACUUUGGCUAAAAUCUUUUGCCUCCAGUUUCUCUAUACCUCUCUGCUAUGAGCCUUAGGUUUCUUGCCUCCUGAAUGUGUUCAAAACCAUGAAGCAGUUUACUGUUAUUCCUUUCCUCUCUGAAAAUGAAAAGGUAGCUGUGCCAGAUAAUGUCAGAUGGAUGGGAACAUUAGCUUCAGGGUGUGGGUAGAUUACUUACAGGGUUAGUAAGCAUGAGGAUGUUGGAGUUAGCCAGAGGUUCAUCCAAUCGGAUGGCUCCUCAGGAGGGUGAGUCAGAAGGAAUAGAAUGAUUGAGAAUUACUGAACUCCUAAUCAAAGUCCAGCUGGGAAGAUCAGCUAAAAGGAACUGGUCUUUGCUGGCAUCCAAGAAAACUAUGGAUUUGGCCAGGGUGAAGAACUUUUACGGUGGAAUGAGUAAGGGUUAACAAAGUCUUACACAAGGUUUUACCAAGAGGCUAUCACUAUACCUAUGGCAGGCCCAUUCUUUUCUAGUGGUCUCUGCCUGGCAGGCAAGGCAAGAUAAACACCUGAAUCUUUAGAGAUGGAUGGCUAAGUUCUGUUGUGACAUCUCUCAUACAGUAUAUCUAAUGAAUCAGAUUCUCUCUGCAAUUAUUUCAAGAUAUUACUUGGGAGCAAGACAAAAGAGUUACAGCCUGUUCUUAAUCUCUUUCUUCUUGGAACACCCAUAUUUGUGCUUUCGUUCAUGUUGUCUACCAUCUUCCAUCUAUUCCUCCAACACUUACCCUAACCCCUGUGACAGAGGGCAGGUCUGAAAGAUAUGGUCUUGAAGAAUAACAUCUUUCCCAGAAACCUCAUCACAGAAACCACUGGCCAGGUAGCUUGCCUCUGUCCAGUUUGCUGGAAGAACUGCCGAGGUUUCCAGUAUUACUAUCCACUGGAGACUGGGCAGGACUGGGAAGCAACUUUCCCUAGCAGAAGUAUUGCAUUAGGAAACACUUUGCUUGGAAGUUAAGGUGAGAAAUCAUCAGGCAAGAAAAGGGUAUGUUCUUAGGAUCCAAAACAACUAUAAAGUCACUUUUCCCAAAAGGUACAUUGCAUUAUUUUUUGGACUGUUGUAUUAUAGGGGUGGCAGUGGGAGUGGGGGUGGAGCUAGGAUGAGUAACAGUUUUGGAACAUAAAGCCCUACAGUUUUUCCAUUUUCCGUCUAGCUGAGAUGGAAUUAAAGAGACAAAAAUAUUAAAACUACUUCAAAUAGCUCCCCCGGAGCAUUUUCAAUUCUAUUACCUAUGAAAAGAAUCUAAUGGGAGUGUAAGUUUAAUCUCUUCCUUGUGAAAACUCGGGCUUUUCCUGUUUCACAGGAUGUGAUAAGUUCAAGUUCCAUGAGAUUAAAGGGAAAUACAGAACACUUAUCUGGUGUUCUACUUUCUUUCCUUCCUCUUAACUUACCCCCUUGUUGUUCACUUUAUGUAAAGACAUCUUGGGAAUAUGGCUAAUAGUCAUAAAAGAAUGUAGAAGCCACAAAAUGAAGCUAUCUUAAGGGGGAUUGGAAGGAGCAUAAUUGAAUACAUGUGAUUAAAAAAUCAGAAUAGGCGAACCAUGUGGGGAAAGGAAGAGAGCCAGCCAGAGUGGGUAGGGAAGAUGGGGAGGGGAACAAAUAAGAACAAAGCAUAAUGAUACAUAGGGGAAAUGCCAUAAUGAAGCCUAUUUAUAUGCUGAGCGAAAAUUUAAUUUAAAAAGAAUGUAAAUAUUGACAGCAGAGUAUGUGAGCUUCAAAUAUUAGCUCAGCUCAGAAACUUACUGUGAUCAUGGAUAAUCUACUUCAUUUUCUUAGAGCUUAAUUUCCUUGAUUGUAGCAAUAAUAAGACCUAUCUUUUGAAGUUACUGGGUUAAUUCAAAGUGUGUCUUCUUCUCCCCCUUCGUAUGUAGACAUAUACAUAGGAUCAGAGCUUGAAUGCUCUGUUCUUAUUAGGUCUGACUUUAGUCAUUCAAGUUGGGCAUAACUCUGUCUGAGGGAGAGGAAAUGGAUAAUGUGGUUUCUUGUAGCCCCUUUCAAAUGAAGAAUUCUGGGUCUUUUAGAAAAAUCCAGGUUGGCACUGACAGAUGGCUCAGGUAGGUAACAGUGCUUGAUCGUAAGCCUGAUGACCUGAGUUCCAUCAUUAGGACCCAUAUGGCAGAAGGAAAGAACCAACUGCCACAUGACGUCUUCUGACCUCCACACAUGUCUCCUCCCACAAAUCAAUAGGAAAAAUGAAAUGAUUUUCUAAUUAGAAAAAUCUAGGUUUUACUUCUAGAUAUCUAUUUAAGAAGAAUUGUUCAGGGCUGAGGAGAUAUAAUUCUGUGCUAGAACACUUGGUAUUCACAAGGCCCUUAGUACCACACCCCCAAUACAACACACACACACACACACACACACACACACACACACACACACACACACACACACGGAAGAAAGGAGAAAAUGCAAACAAGGAGAGAAUUGUUCAUUAGUGAUUUUUCUUGAAUACUUAAAAUAGUUCCACAUCUAGUUUAGGGUGUAUGAUACAGCACAUUUUCAUUGUGCAUUUCUUGAAAUGAAGAAUGAAUGAAUUACAGAACUUUAUACAUUACAGAUUCUAUCUGUUACAAGAGUUUUAAAAGUAUGUUGAGGCUAAGUAUAUUCUUAUAAUAUCGAGGGAGGAUGGAUUGUGUGACAUACCUUGUGGUGGAGAGGAAAAUAGCUCAAUUAGAAGAAAAGAAUGGGUUUCGAUUUCAGUUUUGCUAUGCACCACUUAGGUGUAGAUCAGGCAGUCACUGCAUCUCUUAAGUCCUCAUUAAUUUAUUUUGUAAGUUAAGACUAACAGUUCUUUUGAUACUUCUUUCUACAACAGUGACACCUUGUUCUUAUUGGUAGUCUAGACAACCCAUUAUUAUAGAGGAGUUCUCAGGCCAGUUAAAGACUGCAAAGAUUCUGGAAGGUGAUCAUAAGUAGCUUCGACCCUUCUAUCCUGACCUGUAGCUUCAGACAGCUAGUAUUUAUUAUCAGAAUAAGUGAAUUAAAUUAUAGGGGUCACAUUCAGACAGGCCUGGUAUUCUAGUUUUAGUUUUGCUUCUAUGAAUAAAAAGAGAAAGAAACAAACAAACAAAAAACCUGACCAAAAGCAACUCUGGGGAGAGAGGCUUUAUUUGGCUUACAAUUCCAGGUCCAUUAUUUCCAGGAAGUCAAGGGAAGGAACUCAAGCAGUUAGUCUCAUUGCAUCCACAGUCAGAAAGUAAAUCAGCACGGCUAUGCCUCAAGACAAUUUUUUUAAAAAGUUGGACUACCACUUAGUGGUAUAGCACUUGCCUAGUGUAUGCAAAAACUUGCCUGGAUUUGAUCCCCAGCUCAAAAGCUUCCUAAGUUGUAAAUCCAUGAAUCCAUACAGUUAGAUGUUUUUAAGACAGAGUAGAGGAAAGUAGUAGAGUGUAGAAACAUGAAAGGAGUAACAGUUUAAGCAAAUCCAAUACACCCAGGAAGCAGACAGGUUCAUUCUAUCUUAGAGUUUGAGAAGUUAUUUUCUUGGGUUUGAUAGCUUGCCCCAUAGACCUGCUGGGUAAGAGAAGCCUGUCCUAUAAAAAUGGGGUACUAGGUCAACCCUCCGAGGCUGAGACAGGCUUGACCCAUGGACCUGUGUCACGUGGCCUUUGGAGGGAGUAUUGGCACUACUAAUCUCUCAUUUGCCUUUGAUUCAUUUGUCUCUAUUUUAUUUAUUUAUAUUUUGAGUCAGAGUCUCACAGUGUAGACCAGAUGGCCUAGAAUUCACUGAGUAAACCAGACUGGCUUUGAACUUAUACAGACUCACCUGUCUCUGCCUCCCAGGGGCUGGGAGUAAAGUCAUGCACCACCAAGCUCAGCUUCCCCAUUUUUUGAAGGAUGUUUCAUAUUUGUAGUUCAAUAGCUGUGUCUUUUCAUCCCAGAGUUUUAAAAGUCCAAUAGCUAAAAAGUCUAAUAGUUUUCCUUCGUUUUGCAUUGUCUCUGUUUCCUUUAAUCCAAACUAGCAUUAUUUCUGUUGGUAUAAUCCAUAAUCUCUUUAUCAAGUAAUAGAAUUUGAUAUUCUUUCUGAUUUUCCUUCUCUCAGAAGCCAUUAAUUGCCUGUAGCUCCUUAUCUAGGGAUGGAGCCUUGUGAAAUUUCCUCCAUCCAGAUUGGUAUGCCAACUGGUAUGGUCAUCCUGGAAGUCUUGUGAAGGAAACUACACUGUUGAUAUUUCAUGGGUUUAUUAUUCCUCUUAUAUAUAAGAGAUAUUAUCUAGCAGCAGGCUUCCUGGUCCUUUGACUCUUAUACUUUUUCUAGCCCAUCUUCUGCAGUGUUCCCUGUUGCAUUACAGAUGUAUCAAUUGGCUAUUUUUCCUCCAUAUUCCUCCAUAGACCUGUGUGGAACUCUGUAGUAGUGUCUUCUUUAGAAGGGAAGCUUCUUUAGUGAAGGUUGAGAAGAAGUACAUAAAUCUCUGGGUAUAAUGAUGACUAUUGAGAAUACAAUUGGAAAUUAAUAUUUGCUUCAGGAAAUGGCAGAAGCAGAUUCUCCUCUAAGGUCUAUAACCUCACAAAUCAUGGAUAGCUGGCUAGGGUUAUAGUACUAGGCAUUAUUCCUAUUAAAUGCACCGUACAUCCAAUUAGAGAGUUGUUGGUUACCACCAAGAUAAAGUGUCACUAUUGUACAAUUGGGGAUAGCUUGCUGGAACAGGCAUUGUUGUGGUUCUUAUGCUUCACACCUGGACAUGCUUUUUGUUUAAUCUUAUCCCUUGAAAACUUGCAUAGUACCCCUAGAUAUUUUGAGAGCUAGUCUUCAGGGAGGAGGCUUUCAGGUCAGUUCUGGAUCAACUCCUCCAAGCUGUGUGUUCAAAGUAUUUGGUGUCUUUUGCAAUAGGAUCUUACCUUCCACUUAUGCUAGGCAACCACAGGAAGGCAAUGACAAUAGCCUAAAUUUCUAUGGGAGUCUCUUGGAUGCCCAUUGACCAACAACUCAAAAGGUUUCCUAUGUCUGGCACUGGAGUUUUGAUAGAUAGUCUAUGGCUCUUGUGGGGAACACUGCACCAUGUGUAGUGUAAUGCCAUUAAAAUAAAUAUGUAUAAACCAGUAUAUACUUUAUAUGUAAUUUUAAGGAAGCCUACAGAAUGUCAUGCUUCCCAAAAACAUUUUGAAACUCUUUGGAAAGUGGAAAAAGUACAAGUGUGUGUGUGUGUGUGUGUGUGUGUGUGUGUGUGUGUGUGUGUGUGUAGGGGGUUCUAGGUACUUCAUGGGAUGGGCUUACAUGCAGACUAUGAGGCUUGGGAGAAUGAUAUCAGGCCAGGCAGGAUAGGUUCUAGGGAAUUCACAAACUGAACUGGUUCAUAGGCUGUAGAACCAGAGCUGAGCACUCUGGAAGUGUGGAGUUGGCACAGCAUGCAGGGAUCUGGGGAAAUUAUCCAGCUCAUUGAAACACAGGCUAAGGGACCCCAGCUGGCUAGAGAGAGUGGAAAAGACAUGGAUAUUUGGGGAUCCAGGGAACUUGUCUUAUUGUGCUGUUGCAUAAGCUACAUGACUCCAGCUAGAACUGAAAGUGUGAGGACAAUUCAGAACAGUGAGCAUCAGUAUCACUCAACACCGGGCUGGGGCACAGGCUGUGGAACCAAAGACAGGACAGGCAGGCACAAUGGGCUAGGGCAUAUGAGAACUGGGAAGCAUGCAGGAGUCUGGGAAAGUAAACAAGCUGGACUGGUACACUGAUUUGUGACCGCAACUAGACCUAGGACUGAGGAAAGGUAAACUGGGGAGUGAGGGUGUAGAUUUCACAUUAGGCAGAUUUGGGACACAUGCUUUGGGAAACCAGCUAGGAGUGGGGAUUCAAUAAGCUCAUCAGGAUCUCCGCAGCAGUACCAUGGCUAAGCUUAGGGACAAGGCAAUUCAACAAACCUAUGCCUGGAAGGGUGGGGACAGAGGAGGUGACUGAAGAUCUAGAUCUCUCAUUAGGCUUGGCCAUAGAAACAGGCAGCUUCACCUAGAAAGAGCUUCUGGGAGUAUGGAAAUGAGAGGAGGUAGAGAUGAUGGGGGCAAUCUGCAAAAACAAACAGGAUAAACCGGAAAACAAACCACACAACUCAAAGCAAAGGGGGGGGCAGUAUGGGGAUGACAUGAGCACUUAACCUCCGUCACACAACAUGCAGACCUGCUGUAUCUGCUGCAUGACCGCAAACAGGCAUAAGAUUUUGAAGCGACUGAGGCGAGAUGAAAAUGCAAUGCCAAUUAUGAGGCAGUUGUGAUAAGUUACUACAUGAAAACAGCUCUGUUAGGAAAGAUAUAAACAAAAGGCAUGUGAAAUAAGGGCACUCACCAGGACAUGUUAGUGCACUGAACAGUUUCCCUGACCAAACACAGAAACAUGCAAAGGGCAACAUGUAAAAAUCUACAAUUAAACUCAGACUCAUAGAGUAGCUAGUGUGAAGGCUAAAAGAAAUUCUAUACACUGAUUCCCAUAUUCCUGAGGAGUCACCAUACUGAUUUCCAAAGUGGCUAUACAAGUUGGCACUCCCACCAGCAGUGGAGGAGUGUUCCCCCUUCUCCACAACCUCUCCAGCAUGAACUGUUUUUGAUUUUAGCCAUUCUGACAGGAGUAAGAUGGUAUCUCAGAGUUGUUUUGAUUUGCAUUUCCCUGAUGGCUAAGGAUGUUGAACACUUUCUUAUGUGUCUUCCAGCCAUUUUGGAUUCCUCUAUUGAGAAUUGUCUAUUUAGUUCUGUACCCCACUUUUUAAUUGGAUUGUUUGGUGUUUUGGAGACUAGUUUCUUGAGUUCUUUGUAUAUUUAGGAGAUCAGCCCUCUGUCAGAUGUGGGGUUGGUGAAGAUCUUUUCCCAGUCUGUGGGCUGCCAUUUUGUCUUGCUGACUGUAUUGUUUGCCUUACAGAAGCUUCUCAGUUUCAGGAGGUCCCAUUUAUCAAUUGUUGAUCUCAAUGUCUGUGCUACUGGUGUAAUGUUCAGGAAGCAGUCUCCUGUACCAAUUAAUUCAAGGGUAUUUCCAACUUUGUCUUCUAAUAGGUUUAGUGUGGCUGGAUUUAUGUUGAGGUCCUUGAUCCAUUUGGACUUAAGUUUUGUGCAUGGCAAUAGACAUGGAUCUAUCUGCAGUCUUCUACAUUGCAGCAUCCGGUUAUGCCAACACUAUUUGUUGAAGAUGUUCUCUUUGUUCCAUCCUAUAAAUUUGGAUUGUUUUUCAAAAAUCAGGUGUUCAUAGGUAUGUGGGUUAAUAUCAGGGUUUUCAACUCAAUUCCAUUGGUCUACCUGUAUAUUUUUGUGCCAAUACCAAGCUGUUUUCAGGACUAUAGCUCUGUAAUAGAGCUUGAAGGCAGGGAUGGUGAUGCCUCCAGAAGUUCCUUUAUUGUACAGGGUUGUUUUGGCUAUCCAGGGUCUUUUGUUUCCCCAUAUAAAGUUGAGAAUUGUUCUUUCAAGGUCUGUGAAGAAUGGUAUUGGGAUUUUGAUGGGGAUUACAUUGAAUCUGUAGAUUGGUUUUGGCAAGAUUGCCAUUUUAAUUAUGUUGAUCCUACCUAUCCAAGAGCAUGGGAGAUCUUUCCAUUUUCUGGUAUCUUCUUUAAUUUCUUACUUUAGAGAUUCAAAAUUCUUAUGGUACAGGUCUUUCAAGCUUUUGGUUAGUGUUACCCCAAGGUAUUUUGUGGCACUUGUAAAGGGUGAUGUUUCUCUGAUUUCUUUCUCCACCAAUGUGUCAUCAGUAUAUAGUAGGGCUACAGAUUUUUUUUGAGUUAAUCUUGUGUCCUCCCACCAGCAAUUCCACUCUUAGGCAUAUACCCAAAAGAAGCACAUUCAUACAACACAGACAUCUGUUCAGCUAUGUUCAUAGCAGCACUAUUUGUAAUAGCCAGAAACUGGAAGCAGCCUAGAUGCCCCUCAACCAAAGAAUGGAUAGAGAAAGUGUGCUACAUUUACACAAUGGAGUACUACUCAGUGGGAAAAAUGGAAUUUGGAAAUUUGCAGGCAAAUGGAUGGAACUAGAAGAAACCAUCCUAAGUGAGGUAACCCAAUCACAAAAAGACAAUCAUGGUAUGUACUCACUCAUAUGUGGAUUUUAGACAGAGUAAAGGAUUAUCAGCCUACAAUCCACACUGCCAAAGAAGCUAAUAAACAAGAGGACCCUGAGAGAGACAUACACGGUCCCCUGGAGAAGGGGAAAGGCUCAAGAUCUCCUGAGCAAAUUGGGAGCACAGGAAGAGGGGGGGGGAGCUAGGAGAAUGAGAAGGGGAGAAGAGGAGGGAUGCAGAGGACAUGAGGAAGCAGAAAGGUUGAGUCAGGGGAAGAAUAGAUGAUAACAAGAAUGGAGAUACCAUAAUAGAGGGAGAUAUUUUUGGUUUACAGAGAAAUAAGGCACUAGGGAAAUGUCUGGACAUCUACAAAGAUGACACCAGCUAACAAUCUAAGCAAUCUAAGCAACUAAGCAGAGGAGAGACUACCUUAAAUGCCCUCCCCUGAUAAUGAGAUUGAUGACUAACUUAUAUGCCAUCUUAUAGCCUUAAUCCAGCAGCUGGUGGAAGUAGAAGUAGACACCCACAAGUAAUCACUGAACUGAACAGGAACCCAGAUGCAGAGAAGGACUAGUGAAGAGCAAAGGGGUCCAGACCAGGCUGGUGAAACCCACAGAAACAGCUGACCUGAUAUCAGGGAACUCUUGCUCUCCAGACUGAUAGCUGGACUACUAGCAUGGGACUGAUCCAGACCCCUGGAACAUGGGUUUCUGUGAGGGAACCUCGGAAAUCUAUAGGACCUCCUGUAGAAGUUCAGUGCUUAUCCCUAGCAUAGAUGUGGACUUUGGGAGCCCAUUCCAUAUAGAGGAAUACUCCCUGAGCCAAGACACAUGGGGGUGGGCCUAGGCCCUAUCACAAAGGAUAUGAUAGACUCUGAUGACACCCUAUGGAAGGCCUCACCAUCCAGGGGGAGCAGAAGGGAUAUGUGAUAGAUGGGGUUUUAGUUGGGGAGGAGUAGUAGGGGAGGAUGGGAGGGAAAAGGGAACUGGGAUUGUCAUGUAAAACAAUCCUGUUUCUAAUUCAAAUAAAAAGAAGUUGAAAAACAAAAAAACAGACAGCUGUUGGUGAACAUAGAGAGCAAAGAACUCUAAAAAGAAAGAAAAGAAAAGAAAAAAAUUCUAUAAUGCUGGAAAUACUGGGCCUGCUGAGAACCUCAUAAUCAAGGAAAGAGAACAUUCAAUGAUCUCUCUUAGAAGUCCAAAUUGGUUAGUGGAAUAAACAUGAUGGGGGUUCUCCUUAAGCUCUAAAAUACUGGAAGCUCCGUCCACAGCUAGUCUCUGCUUUGUGUAGUAAGGAACAGGCAUAUGCUAGUCUAGAGCUUGACCCUUGCUGGAAAGGAGCACAAAGGGUGCAUAUCCAUCCAGAUGUAGAAAUUGGGCCCAGGGCCUAAGACACAAGCUCUGUAAUUCCCUUUUUGCAGGAAUGGUUCACAGGCUAUGGGAGAUCUUGCCAGACCUGGGACAAUGGAAUUCUAAGAGGAGGUCAGGAGCAGAGGGAUUCAAUGGUCUCAUCUCCAAUACCUGGAGAGUAAAACCAGGUAUCCCCAAGAGCCCCUGUGGGAGAGGAAAUGUCUAGAACACAUAACGGCUGAGCUGGUAUGCAGUCUGCAUGACUGCAUGACUGAAUGACCUUGUUCCUCAUCCCAAUAGGGAAGGAUGACUGGGGCAUGUUAGCCAUUCACCAGGAAAGGAAUGUGCCAGGCAUUUUGACUCAGCAUACAUGGGAAAUAGGGGAACGCUGUCAGCAGGCAUGAGACUGGAGAGGAAUCCAUGAAAUGCUGGCAUGCAGACUACAAGAUUCCAGCUAAGCCUAGAAAUGUAAGGAAAUUAGGGGAUAAUCACUCAUUUAUUACCAGGAAGGCCUCUUUUGGAGUCCAAAAUCUAUCAGCUUGUCUUGUAGUAAAAUAUGAUGAGAAUAUGAUGGGGCACUAACUUUGCCUGCUGUUGUAAAGACAACAGACCUUGUCUUGUGGCAAUGGUUCUAACCCCGGGGCAAACAACACACCCAAAGACCAUCUAGGACAAAGACAACCAUGUCAGAAAUACAUAACAUUAGGAAAAUUGCAGAUAGGAUGCCAAAACUAAAAUAAUUUUAUCAUUGGUGGAGAACAGAACAUGAGGAAAUGUAUUACAGGGUGGCAGGCAGUAGAGGUGUUGAAACCCACAGACUGCCUUUUGGUUGUAAAUGUGGUGGGUAGAGUCUGGCGGCUCCUCCAAAUUGGAAGGGGAAGGCAAUUUGCUCACAGAAAUGGCUCUGUCCAGGGUGAGGGGGGACAAUGGUGGUGGAUGGAUAUCUGGGUCACUCUUAGGCUUGGGUGUUGCAUAGGUUAUUGGACCCUAUUGAUGCAGCCACAGAUGAUAUGGGUAACAAGGGAGAAUGGACAGGUACAGACCAUCUAUGACGAUAGUCUGACUGUUAGCAAUACAAUCCCAGAUGAUUCACAAUGAUUAUAUUUGCAGAUAUUGAAGACAUAGUGCUGUAACUCACUGGUGAGGUUCUGAAAACUGUGCAACACCAGCAGAGCCAAUGAGUGAUGGCCAGGGCCAUGGGGAUAUAUGUGUGCUACCUCUGCUCUGUUUGUGGAAAUGGUUGGUGUGACCCAGCUAAGGCUGGGAAAGGGGGAAUGCAUGAGCAUGUUGGGACCAAUGCAUCAUAGCUGGAGGCCAGUUGAACAUUGUAUGGGAGCUUGGCAACCCCUCCAAAUGUCUGUCUUGGCCCCGCCUGAAUGACCUUGCACACAGAAUAUGGGCCGUGAGCUAGUCUCUGCCUUGUGCAGUAAGGGUAAUUCGAAUGACAGCCUAGAGCUUGCCCCUUGCUGGAGUAGAGCCCAAGGUGUUCAUAUCCAUACAGAUGUGGUGCUUGAGGCCAGGGCCGGUGAAAGAAGCUCGGGCAUUCUCACAUUGACUGAAUGGGACACAGGCUAUUGGAGAUGCUGCCAGGCCUGGGACUAUGGAAUUGUAUGAGGAGCUGAGGGACUCAAGUCUCUCGUCUACAAUACCUGGAAAGUAACACCAGGUAGCCCCAAGAGCUUCUGUGGGAAGGAAAAGGUCUAGAAUCCACAUCAGCUGAGCUGGUGUACAGUCUGCAUGACCACUGCCUUUUCUGCUCAACCCAGUAGGGAAGGGUGACUGUGGCAUGUUAGCCAGUCAACGGGACAGGACUGUGCCCAGACAAUUUGACACCACUUACAUGACAAGUAUUGGCAUGCUGUCAGCAGGCAUGGCACUGGACAGGAAUCCAUGAAAUGCUGGCAUUCAGACUAAAAGUUACCAGCUAGGCCUGGGAAUGGAGGGGCCGUCCACACAUUCUUCCUGGGAAGGCCACAUUUGGAGUGGAAACUCCAUCAACUUGGCCUGUAGUUCAAAUAUGGUGAGAAAUCUCGGGAUAUGGGGAACAAAAUGCCCACUGUUGUAAAGUCAACAGAGACCAUGUCUUGUGGCAAAGGUUCUGAUCCCGGAGGAAAUGACCCUCCAAAAGAUCAUAUGUGAAUAAGACAUUCAUGAGAAGAUUAAUAACAGUAGAAAAUUGCAAUUAGGAAGCAAUAACUGCAAUACUUUUAAGGGUGGUUGACAACAAAACAUGAGAAACUAUAUUAGAGGUGGAUGGCAUUAGAGCUAUUGAAACCCACUCAAUGAUAUUUUGGCUGUAAAUGUGGUAGGGAGAGUCAGGCCGCUGUUCUGAAUAGGAAGGCAAAGGAAAUUUGCCCACAGGAAUGUCUCUGUCCCGGCUGAGUGGGACCAUGGAGGUGGAUGGUUAUCUGGGUCACUCCUUGGGCUUCAGUGUUGCAUAGGUUACUGGACCCUAGCAGAAGCUUCCCCACAUGAUGUGGGUGACAAGGGAGAAUGGACAGCUACAGACCAUCGAUGAUGAUGGUCUGACUGUGCGCACUACGAUCCCAGAUGAUUCACAAUGAUCCAAUUUCCAGAUAUUGUGGCCAUAGUGC
RNAcentral lists this long non-coding RNA (22999 nucleotides) under Cricetulus griseus (Chinese hamster). Its description in RNAcentral is "lncRNA (ENSCGRG00015039105.1)". The stretch from base 7962 to 8049 matches the Rfam family "mir-384 microRNA precursor family". Lineage: Eukaryota; Metazoa; Chordata; Mammalia; Rodentia; Cricetidae. The record is from RNAcentral.